This 74-nucleotide transfer RNA is filed under the name Bacillota bacterium. RNAcentral's name for it is "tRNA-Gly". It matches the Rfam family "tRNA". Rfam says of the family: Transfer RNA (tRNA) molecules are approximately 80 nucleotides in length. Their secondary structure includes four short double-helical elements and three loops (D, anti-codon, and T loops). Further hydrogen bonds mediate the characteristic L-shaped molecular structure. tRNAs have two regions of fundamental functional importance: the anti-codon, which is responsible for specific mRNA codon recognition, and the 3' end, to which the tRNAs corresponding amino acid is attached (by aminoacyl-tRNA synthetases). tRNAs cope with the degeneracy of the genetic code in two manners: having more than one tRNA (with a specific anti-codon) for a particular amino acid; and 'wobble' base-pairing, i.e. permitting non-standard base-pairing at the 3rd anti-codon position. RNAcentral also lists the same sequence under 3 other names. The record is from RNAcentral. Lineage: Bacteria; Bacillati; Bacillota.
GCGGGUGUAGCUCAAUGGUAGAGCCCCAGCCUUCCAAGCUGGUUGCGCGGGUUCGAUUCCCGCUACCCGCUCCA